RNAcentral lists this ribosomal RNA (612 nucleotides) under Microchaetus vernoni. RNAcentral's name for it is "eukaryotic LSU rRNA". The stretch from base 429 to 612 matches the Rfam family "Eukaryotic large subunit ribosomal RNA", at positions 665 to 817 of the family's 3401-position model. The record is from RNAcentral. Lineage: Eukaryota; Metazoa; Annelida; Clitellata; Crassiclitellata; Microchaetidae.
UGAAACCGUCUAGAGGCAAACGGAGAGGACCGUAUGGUCCGCCCGUCGGAUUCAGUCCGCCUGCUCGGCCGCGUGGCCGGCGUCGCAUCCCUCUCGGGAGCGCGUCGGCGACGUCGCGUCGGGCGGCGGCCGUACUUUCGGCGGGCGGAGCGCCACGACCGGUUCGCGGGCGGCGAGAAACUCCCCGGCAAGGUGACCGUCGCCUCGGCGUCGGAGCAUACAGGCCGGGMGAGCGUCGGCCCGUCSGCGGACCGAGGAAGACCGUCGCGGCGAGGCGUCGACCGCCGGUCGUGCGAGCGCGUUCGACUCGGGGGGACUGGUUCCAGUGCCCUCGGACCGCGCGUUCGUAUCGUCCGGACGGCACGGCGUCGCGCUUGGGGUCGGAGGCGAAACGGCCGGCAACCUGUCCGACCCGUCUUGAAACACGGACCAAGGAGUCUAACAUGUGCGCGAGUCGUUGGGCGCUACGAAACCCGCAGGCGCAAUGAAAGUGAAGGCCGGCCUCGCGUCGGCCUCGGUGCGAUCCGGACGUCUCCGGGCGUCCGGCGCAGCACCGGCCCGUCUCGGUCGCCGCGUCGACGAGGCGGAGCAAGAGCGUACACGUUGGGACCC